Non-coding RNA from Picea glauca (white spruce), 1361 nucleotides. Lineage: Eukaryota; Viridiplantae; Streptophyta; Pinopsida; Pinales; Pinaceae. The record is from Rfam.
CUCAUGGAGAGUUUGAUCCUAGCUCAGGAUGAACACUGGCGGCAUGCUUAACACAUGCAAUUCAGACGGGAAGUGGUGUUUCCAGUGGCGAACAGGUGAGUAACGCGUAAGAACCUGCCCUUGGGAGGGGAACAACAACUAGAAACAAGGUGACGAUCAGUAGCUGGUCCGAGAGGAUGAUCAACGACACUGGGACUGAGACACAACCCAGACUCCUACGGGAGGCAGCAGUGGGGAAUUUUCCACAAUGGGCGAAAGCUUUAUGGAGCAAUGUCGCGUGAAAGCAGAAGGCCCACGGGUCAUGAAAUUCUUUUCUCAGAGAAGAAACAAUGACGGUAUCUGAGGAAUAAGCAUCAGCUAACUCUGUGCCAGCAGUCAUGGUAAGACAGAGGAUGCAAGUAGGUGGCUUUUCAAGUCUGCCGUCAAAUCCCAGGGCUCAACCCUGGACAGGUGGUGGAAACUACCAAGCUGGAGUACAGUAGGGGCAGAGUGAAUUUCCGGUGGAGCGGUGAAAUGCGUUGAGAUUGGAAAGAACACCAACGGUGAAAGCACUCUGUUGGGCCGACACUGACAUUGAGAGACGAAAGCUAGGGGAGCAAAUGGGAUUAGAUACCCCAGUAGUCCUAUCCAUAAACGAUGGAUACUAAGUGUUGUGCAUAUCGACCCGUGCAGUUCUGUAGCUAACGCAUUAAGUAUCCCGCUUGGGGAGUACGUUCGCAAGAAUGAAACUCAAAGGAAUUGACGGGGGCCCACACAAGCGGUGGAACAUGUGGUUUAAUUCGAUGCAAAGUGAAGAACCUUACCAGGGCUUGACAUGCCGUGAAUCCUCCCGAAAGAGAGGAGUGCCUUUGGGAACGUGGACACAGGUGGUGCAUGGCUGUCAUCAGCUUGUGUCGUAAGGUGUUGGUUUAAGUCCCGCAACGAGCGCAACCCUCGUGUUUAGUUGCCAGCAUUGAGUUUGGAACCCUGAACAGACUGUCGAUGAUAAGCCGAAGGAAGGUGAGGAUGACGUCAAGUCAUCAUGCCCCUUACGCCCUAGGCGACACACGUGCUACAAUGACUGGGACAAAGGGUUGCGACCCCGUGAGGGAAAGCUAACCUCAAAAACCCGACCUCAGUUCGGAUUGCAGGCUGCAACUCGCCUGCAUGAAGCCAGAAUCGCUAGUAAUUGUCGGUCAACCAUACGGCGAUGAAUCUGUUCCCGGGCCUUGUACGCACCACCCGUCACACUAUGGGAGCUGGCCAUGCCCCAAGUCAUUACCUUAACUGCAAGGAGGGGGAUGUCGAAGGCUGGGCUAGUGACUGGAGUGAAGUCGUAACAAGGUGGCCAUACUGGAAGGUGCGGUUGGAUCACCUCCUUU